UCGAUUUGAAGGUUGUAGACUUUGAGCUGUGACUUUCGGAGCUAACGCGUUAAAUCGACCGCCUGGGGAGUACGACCGCAAGGUUAAAACUCAAAUGAAUUGACGGGGGCCCGCACAAGCGGUGGAGCAUGUGGUUUAAUUCGAUGCAACACGAAGAACCUUACCUACUCUUGACAUCCAAAGAAUCUUGUAGAAAUAUGAGAGUGCCUUCGGGAACUUUGAGACAGGUGCUGCAUGGCUGUCGUCAGCUCGUGUUGUGAAAUGUUGGGUUAAGUCCCGCAACGAGCGCAACCCUUAUCCUUUGUUGCCAACGAGUAAAGUCGGGAACUCAAAGGAGACUGCCGGUGAUAAACCGGAGGAAGGUGAGGAUGACGUCAAGUCAUCAUGGCCCUUAUGAAUAGGGCUACAAACGUGCUACAAUGGCGUAUACAAAGAGAAGCAAUCUCGUGAGAGCAAGCAAACCUCACAAAGUGCGUCUAAGUCCGGAUUGGAGUCUGCAACUCGACUCCAUGAAGUCGGAAUCGCUAGUAAUCGUGGAUCAGAAUGUCACGGUGAAUACGUUCCCGGGCC
This 570-nucleotide ribosomal RNA is filed under the name endosymbiont of Camponotus japonicus. RNAcentral describes it as "bacterial SSU rRNA". It matches the Rfam family "Bacterial small subunit ribosomal RNA", at positions 812 to 1380 of the family's 1533-position model. The record is from RNAcentral. Lineage: Bacteria; Pseudomonadati; Pseudomonadota; Gammaproteobacteria; Enterobacterales; Enterobacteriaceae.